This 3011-nucleotide unclassified non-coding RNA is filed under the name Gigantopelta aegis. Its description in RNAcentral is "uncharacterized LOC121386636, transcript variant X7". Lineage: Eukaryota; Metazoa; Mollusca; Gastropoda; Neomphalida; Peltospiridae. The record is from RNAcentral.
AAACAACGUUAUAAUGGGACGUCACAUAAUCGUUCAAGGACCCACAUAAAGCUUUAUUGACUGUGAAGAUAUCACACACAUUCAUGUUAUAUUCAACCUGCAUGUUAACCGUACAUUUUGUUUUUUAGGAACAGAACUCUAAAAGACCACGAAAUUGUGCACACUGUGGAAAGACCCUUAACUCAAGUUUCCUCGAAUGAAUGCGAGAUGAAACAGAGGGAUAGUGAAGAAGCACGUGAUGGAACAAACAGGCCUUCAUGCUUCAAGGGAAGGCUGUCCUGCGUCCUGACACAUCUUAUAGCUGUAGCCUUAAAUGCACUACUUAUGUUAGACACCUUUCAUUUGCCUAUGGCACUGCAUAAUGCGAGCCACAAAGGGAGGGAUAAAACAGUGAUAUUCAAGCACGUCACUGGUCCACACCAUACUCCAUGAUGAGGCACAAAGCACUGACCAGGAGAUUUGACUGUCAAGUACAGUUGGAAGCAGUUCACAAACUUGAGCUCCCUCGUGAUGUAAAAGUGAUAGUUUUGGAUGUAGCAAGUGAAUCCGAGGACAGGGAAGAUCUUGAAGUAAUCUGUUUCUUGCACGACACACUGCUGAAGGGUGAACUGUUACCAGGCUCUGUGGCGAACAAUGACCAUCUCACCAGGAUCAGCAGAAACAUGCAUGAGAAGAAACUGACACUGACUGGAAUAACUAGUAAACUAUGGCUUCAGUACCUGUCUAUGGUUGACAUAAUAUAAUGGAAUGCUUUCUGAAGGCUGAGAGAACUGGAAACUGACUUCUUCGCCUGUCAGCUGUACAUAUCUUGCUGUAGCUGGACACAACUUGUAUACAAACUCCGCCUAUCUGUACCUGCAACACACUUGACAAAAGGAAUUCCGUUGUCCACAAAAGCUUCUUGGAUGGACACCGUGUUGUGAGACGAAGCAACAGAUACUGACCUGACAAUUGAUCAGACUUGAUCAUGACUGAGCAGACUCUGGUGCAGGUGGGCUCACUUGAGGGACAGUGAUAACAGUCACAACGUGUAAAGUGGGUGCUUUCCAUGCCAGCAUGUUGUCAUAUGAAGCUUCAUGCAGGAAGUCACUGGCACUCUACGAUCUACGAGCGAUCAGCACACAGACUUGGGAUCCACACGAUCUAGAAACUAUACCGAUGUUUUCCUUGUCUGGGUUUGGUGACCAAUCACAGUUGAAAUGGGCUGGUUUCAACAAAGAAUUUGAUCCAAUGUUUGCCAGUGAUUACUCACCAUCGAAAGGACCUGGUUUCAGGAGAGAAUUUGAUCCAGUGUUUGCCAGUGAUUACUCAUCAUCGAAAGGACCUGGUUUCAGGAGAGAAUUUGAUCCAAGGUUUGCCAGUGAUUACUCACCAUCGAAAGGACCUGGAUUCAGGAAAGAUAUCUCUCCUGUGAAGCCAUCCAACAGACAGGGCAAGAAGGCGCUGAAGGCCUCAAUACAGAAACUGGCCUCGCCCACCCACCCCACUGUGUCGCCUAGACUCCCUGACCUGCAUCCCAGUAGAAGUGGGUCUCGGAGCAGACACUUGCAGCCCAGUUUUCAGCGCCUUGAAGCCCAGCUGCGAUCUGUGUCGUUUUCCCACGGCGGACUGUUGAACGUUGUGAGGAAACGCACAGAAGACAUGGUGAACAUCAACAAAGAAAUGAUCCAAUUGAUGCGUGCCAGGGACGAGGUCAUGAUUCAACUUAAAAUGAUUCAGAGGUUGAAUUCUUGUUUGAGGAGAAGGCGACUGAAGAACAAGUCGCACGAGCACGGAAGUUCUUGUUACCCGAUCACUUCUACUUGUACGAGAACAAACCACCCUGCCCCGGCUGCAUUGGUUGUGAAGACGAAGAUCGCGACAAAGAUACAACUGAUGCCAGCUUAUCAGAGCUGUUUCAGAGAAUGAAACUUGUUUGAUAUGUUGUGAAUACAGGGAUUAUAGAGGUGGUGUCGUAUUAACAUGGGUAACAAUUCUGGUAUAUAUAUUAAUUAUUGGUGAUAGUUUCAUAAUCAACACCAAUAUUGGUAGAUAUAUUAGAGAUAGUUUUAUAAUCAACACCAAUAGUAGUAGAUAUAUUGGUGAUAGUUUUAUAAUCAACACCGAGACUAGUAGAUAUAUUGGUUAUUGGUGAUAGUUUUAUAAUCAACACCAAUACUAGUAGAUAUAUUGGUGAUGGUUUAAUAAUCAACACCAAUACUACUAGAUAUAUUAGGGAUAGUUUCAUAAUCAACACCAGUACUAGUAGAUAUAUUGGUGAUGGUUUCAUAAUCAACACCAGUACUAGUAGAUAUAUUGGUGAUGGUUUCAUAAUCAACACCAGUACUAGUAGAUAUAUUGGUGCUGUUUUUAUAAUCAACACCAAUACUAGUAGAUAUAUUAGGGAUAGUUUUAUAAUUAACACCAAUACUAGUAGAUAUAUUGGUGAUGGUUUCAUAAUCAACACCAAUACUAGUAGAUAUAUUGGUGAUGGUUUCAUAAUCAACACUAAUACUAGUAGAUAUAUUACUAGAGAUAGUUUUAUAAUCAACACCAAUACUAGUAGAUAUAUUGGUUAUUGGUGAUAGUUUUAUAAUCAACACCAAUACUAAUAGAUAUAUUGGUCAUGGUUUUAUAAUCAACACCAAUAGUAGUAGAUAUAUUGGUUAUUGGUGAUAGUUUUAUAAUCAACACCAAUACCAGUAGAUAUAUUGGUGAUGGUUUAAUAAUCAACACCAAUACUAGUAGAUAUAUUAGGGAUAGUUUCAUAAUCAACACCAGUACUAGUAGAUAUAUUGGUGAUGGUUUCAUAAUCAACACCAAUACUAGUAGAUAUAUUGGUGAUGGUUUCAUAAUCAACACCAAUACUAGUAGAUAUAUUAGUGAUGUUUUUAUAAUCAACACCAAUACUAGUAGAUAUAUUGGUGAUAGUUUCAUAAUCAACACCAAUACUAGUAGAUAUAUUGGUGAUAGUUUUAUAAUCAACACCAAGUACUAGUAGAUAUAUUGGUUAUUGGUGAUAGUUUUAUAAU